Molecule: long non-coding RNA, 571 nt
Organism: Triticum aestivum (bread wheat)
Lineage: Eukaryota; Viridiplantae; Streptophyta; Magnoliopsida; Poales; Poaceae
Exons: 2
Source: RefSeq, a predicted model, not a curated record
UCGACAUGUUAAACAGAGCUGCCUCUGCUGUCUCUCCCCCCACUUCGUUCCACAUCCACCCAGACCCGGGUAAAACAGAGGCAGGCAGCACCGAGCACGAGCUAGCUAGCUAGCAGCUUGCAUCCAUGGCGGACCGGAGCAACAUGGGCGGCAGCCUUGGGAUGCUAGCCGCGGUCGCCGUGGUGUCGACCGGCAUCAUCCUGGCAUCGUACCACCUCCACCGCCGCCUCGUCGCCGACCUCCAGACGGGCAUCACCGCAGAGCAACGGCGGCAGAGGAGGACGGCGAAGAAGAAGAAGAAGGUGCGGUUCGCGGACGAGGUGAUGGUGGCGGAUCCCUUGUCGGCCCUCCGAGAGUACCGCCGUCGACGGAGGGCCGCGGCCAAUGGCCCCAUUCGGCCGGCGCUGCGUAAGGCCUAGCUACUCGGCCUUUUUGCAAUCAGCUUCAGUGAAUAAAUCAGCAGCUACUCCUAUAAGAGAAGGCAGUACUACUAAAUAAAGCUGCGUUUUCCCUAAACAUUGCUAUUACCAUCCUUGGGUUAUAAUAAUUGAGUUGUUUAAUUUUUGAAGCA